Molecule: long non-coding RNA, 1970 nt
Filed under: Homo sapiens (human)
Lineage: Eukaryota; Metazoa; Chordata; Mammalia; Primates; Hominidae
Description: non-protein coding LINC01122:19
Source: RNAcentral
AAUUAGCUAAACAAAGAAAUCAUGGCGGAUUGUUUACAUUUGGCAGCGCCCGGGCUGCGCCGACCGCCGGCCCCGAGCCGCCGCGGGCUCCGAGGAGUCGGCCGAGCUGCUCCCGCGCCCUGGCCGGACGUUUGAAACUAUUGCUUUGCUGAAAACAUCUGACUGCCAGGCUAGGAUGUGACACUUAAGGGACUUACCAAUUUGGGAUUCUUCCAGGAGCUGAAAACUGAUUGCAAAUAUGAAACAGAUUUCACUACAGGACUUGAACCCUACAUUAAAAAACAACAAGCUCCCCAAAAUAAUUGAAAAAGAUCUUCACCAAAGAGUAGCUGCAAUGUGAAUGGCAGGAUAUGAAGCAAGUAAGAGCUUGAAAGUCACUUUUUGAUUUGUUCUACACACUUCGUCACGUGUUCACUGCACAGGAGAGGUCGACUGGCACUCUGCACUGAGCAGAAUCAUAUGUUACCCUCGCCCUGCCAUUUCCAUCAUUCCACUGUGCUCUCCCUGAACCAGAUGGUGAAAAGAUUAUCUUAAGCUUGGAAUUAAGUGAUGAAAGGGACCUUCGAAAUUAUCAACUCUAAAUACUUCUUUACAGGAAAAUUGAAAGCAGUUAAGAACCUGCCCCCUACCGUGGAGUUCUUGGUGCCGUGAGUUGGAGUUCUUGGUGCCUGGGUGCGUCCCCAAGGCCACUGGUCUUCAGAUCUUUCUUACUUGAGAAGAACGCCUCCGCCUCCUGGCUCUCCCACCAGUGGUAUUGCCACCACCACACACCAGCAUAAAGCACAGAUUGCUGCCCAGCUCCUUGGAGAGGGGCCAGUGCAUUUGUCAGGAAUUGAAAAGUUUUGGAGCCAGUUCGAGGACUUUCUCCUGCACAAAGUGUUGGCUGGAAGCAUGAAGCAAUAACACAUGGUUUGCCAAAGAAUCUGCAUUGAAUAAUACUGGUGGUGACCACAAGAACAUGCCUCUCUGACUGCAAGGAACAAGAGUGACCCAGGGUUUCAGCUGCUGCCUUGGAAAUUCAUCACAGUGCAAGUCUAUGCUUCCCACGGGCUGCUCCCAGCCUGUGAAUAAGCCUGGCAUCUUUGUUGAGGCAGGCCUAUUUCUGGAGAUGCAGGAUCCUCCGAUGGGCGAAUUUGGCUCUAGGACUGCUUGAUGGCCUUGACAGACUUUCCUUAGAAAUGCAUGGCAAUUUAGGGUUCCUCCACCCUUCCCUCUUUCUCUCCUUCACCUAGGGUCGGACUUGCAUCAUGGCCUGAAAGCUCCACCAGCCUCUCCUGCCCUCCUCCUCAUUUUCUUUCACAGGCAUAUCCUCUAAUAAAUUUCUUGCACAUUGAAUCUCAUCUUGGCAUCUACUUAUUGGAGGAUCUGAAAAUUCACAUUUUUAACACAAUAAUAAAAUUCACAUUUUUUCAUCAUCCACUAUAUGCCAAGUAAUGUGUUACUGUGUAGUCUCAUUAAAUCCUCUCAAAUCCAAGAGAUAAGAAUUACAUUUAUUUUACAAGAAGAAAAGCAGUCACUCUGAGAGGUAAAAUAAUGUAUAUGGCAGUAGAUUGCAGAGUUAGCAUUUGAAGAAUGUUCGGUUGUACUCCAAAGCCCACCACAAAACUCCACCACUAAACCACAGCACCUUUGGAGCAAUUGGAAUGACGAUUCUGUUCAAAUCAUAUUAAUACCAAUCACUGUAUUUGACUUUUUCGUUUAGAUGUGGCUGUGAUUGAAAAAUCAUGGUCUUUGUAUAUAGUCACCUGUUCUAUCUGCCUUUGUUUUGGGGGACUGCCACCUGAAAUUCCUGACUUUUACCCUGGGAGGGGCUUGUGCAGAGGAUCUGAGUUACUCAUCUGAACGGACUGCCUAAAGACACCUCAGUUUGUGUUGUCUGUGCAUUCACUCAGCCUCCAUAGCUAAACUAAGAUGCUGGGAAUGAGAGACUGUUCAAGGAGUAGAAGCCUUGCUUCUAGCUUCUAUAUUCC